UCACGGAGACAACCAAACUCCCCUUUCUCUUCCGUUCUCUCUACCGGCUGUGAUUUGGAUAAGCGCGGCCAUGGGUUGGGCAAGGGAGAGCACUGAAUAACGCGGCAAGCUGCUCAAGCUCGUCAUGUACGGCGGAUAGCGGGUAGCGGCCGUGGCGACGGCGCUGGAGGUUGGUGGCGCGAAGCAGGCGGUGACGCAGCUGACAGAGGGCGCACUGGUUAACAGAUUUCCUGGACGAACUCGUGCGUCCUCAUCUUCCAAGCUGGUUGUACCAAAUCGAGUAGGAUGCUUGUAAGUGCAUAGUCUGGAGGCCAGCUCUGACUGAGGUGUGGGCCGCGCGUUCGAGCUACUGAUGUUGCGCCGGCACCAGCGAGGCCGCAUCUCGCGUCACUAAUCUGGAAAGGCGGAUGCUGGUCACCGGGCAGGUGACGGGUGCCGGGACAGAGAACUUUGGCGCUGCAUUGAAAGGCUUGUUGUUUCUUUUUCGUCCUAGCCUGAGGAAGAGCAACAGAUUUCUCAUCCAAUGAGCAGUGAGGGGUCUCACAGAGUAUGGAGUGCUGAUUCCUGAAUUUCCUGGACAAAAUCAUCCUACUGGGUUUAAGCUUGUUGGUGCCGGGUCAUCAAUGCCAGGGCGGGGUAUGGCAGAAAAUAAUGGCUGGCUGAUGGAGAAUGGUUGAAUCUGAGGCAAAUGAUAAAGGGGGCAUUGUGUCUAUGGUCCUUAAGAGGUAUGGGGUAACAGAGGCAGAGUCAUAUGAUGAGAUCGCGCGAUAAAUAAAUAGCAGCAAAAUGUGAGCAGCGUGUGCAGGCGGCCUAUGAGUUGUUGCCCUCCUACCAAAUGUCUUAGAGACUCAUUAUCCAGGAAGAGUGAUGAUAGCAUAUAUUGGAACUAAUGCAGCACCCGAUUUGUCCGGUUUCAUGUCUCACUCCACUGGGUGCCAAAAUGUCGUAGGAGCGUACUGGAUGCAUCGUGUCUUUGAUCCUAUGGCAUGAUGGAAAGCAUAUUGGAUAGGCUGCAGUCUUGCUUUCGAUCUACCCGGCGUGCGAGCGGCGCUUGUGUGUUCAAAGCCAUCAUGUUUCUUCGCAUGCAUUGGGAGUUUCUCUCUCCUUCAUGUGUACGACGUCCUUGUGUAAUUGUGUGUGUAGAUGCCUAUGGUUGCAAGAAAUCAAUCAGGCCAUAUGAAAAUCAAGUAGAAAAUAAUUGAUCAAAUUGUACUUCGCAUGUGUGAAACCCAUGUGUCAAUCAGGCGAAGGCUUCAAAGCAGUCUUUUGGAAUCUCCCUUCUCCCCGCAAGUUCACAUCCUCAACCAAUGAUUAGAUUACUUUGGUUCUCUUUUUUCUGAAAAGAAGGAUUAGUACGGUUCCAUAUCUGAUUCCGAUUGUAACUAAAAGAAUUGUUUAUUGGUAAAUAAAGAACGGGUUGUUUAUUCCUAUACAUGCAUGUUUGCCUCCAUGGUCAUGAAUGA
Triticum aestivum (bread wheat) is the source of this 1463-nucleotide long non-coding RNA. RefSeq lists it as uncharacterized. Lineage: Eukaryota; Viridiplantae; Streptophyta; Magnoliopsida; Poales; Poaceae. The record is from RefSeq and is a predicted model, not a curated record. The transcript has 4 exons.